Oreochromis niloticus (Nile tilapia) is the source of this 239-nucleotide long non-coding RNA. RefSeq lists it as uncharacterized. The record is from RefSeq and is a predicted model, not a curated record. NCBI's taxonomy places the organism in Eukaryota, Metazoa, Chordata, Actinopteri, Cichliformes, Cichlidae. The transcript has 2 exons.
CCUGCCUGCCCCCCUGCCUUUGCUGCUCUGGCUCUCUGGAUAAACCAGGUUGGACUCUCUCCAAUCACCCACCUUCCAGGAUGCUCACUUGGCCAUUACCUCUCCCUCCUGACCCACACACACACACUCCACCUGCCAAUUCCAUCACAGUUCAUCAUCAGAUACUCCUCACUAAGCAUUCCUUCCUUGUGCCAUUGUUUAUUCUUGUGCUUAUCAAUAAAGCUUGUGAGAAUUCCUUA